CAGUAGCCACGGUAAUACGAAGGGUGCAAGCGUUAAUCGGAAUUACUGGGCGUAAAGCGUGCGUAGGCGGUGAGUUAAGUCUGUUGUGAAAUCCCCGGGCUCAACCUGGGAAUGGCAAUGGAUACUGGCAAGCUAGAGUGUGUCAGAGGAUGGCGGAAUUCCCGGUGUAGCGGUGAAAUGCGUAGAGAUCGGGAGGAACAUCAGUGGCGAAGGCGGCCAUCUGGGACAACACUGACACUGAGGCACGAAAGCGUGGGGAGCAAACAGGAUUAGAUACCCCAGUAGUCCCUGUCUCUUAUAC
Molecule: ribosomal RNA, 301 nt
Filed under: uncultured bacterium
Lineage: Bacteria
Description: partial 16S ribosomal RNA
Rfam family: Bacterial small subunit ribosomal RNA
Source: RNAcentral